Molecule: ribosomal RNA, 1410 nt
Filed under: uncultured bacterium
Lineage: Bacteria
Description: bacterial SSU rRNA
Rfam family: Bacterial small subunit ribosomal RNA
Source: RNAcentral
GAGUUUGAGCCUGGCUCGGAAUCGACGCUGGCGGCGUAGCUCAGACGUGCAAGUCGAACGCGAAAGUCCCCUUCGGUGGGCACGUAUAGUGGCGCACGGGUGAGUAACACGAUAGGUAAUCUAGCUCUGGAUGGGGACUAACCAUCGGAUACGAUUGCUUAAUACCGUAUAAUGCAGUGGCACCUACAUGGUGACAGUUGUUCAAGCGGGGUGAUCGAAAGACCUCGCGUCUGAAGAGGAGCCUGCGGCGGAUUAGCUAGUUGGUACGGUAAUGGCUUACCAAGGCUACGAUCCGUAACCGGCCUGCAGAGGGCGGUCUGUCACACUGACACUGACAUACGGGUCAGACUCCUACGGGAGGCAGCAGUCGGGAAUUUUGGGCAAUGGGCGAAAGCCUGACCCAUCAACGCCACGUGCAAUGGAUGAAUCCCUCGGGAUGUAAACUUCGCAAGAACGGGAAGAAUAAGUAGGGGACAAUACCCCCUAUGAUGACGGUACCGUUUGUAAGCUCCGGCUAACUCCGUGCCAGCAGCCGCGGUAAUACGGGGGGAGCAAGCGUUGUUCGGAUUUACUGGGCGUAAAGGGCGCGUAGGCGGCCAGCACAAGUCAGUUGUGAAAUCUCCGAGCUUAACUCGGAAAGGUCAACUGAUACUGUGCGGCUAGAGUGCGGAAGGGGCAACUGGAAUUCUUGGUGUAGCGGUGAAAUGCGUAGAUAUCAAGAGGAACGCCUGCGGCGAAGGCGGGUUGCUGGGCCGACACUGACGCUGAGGCGCGAAAGCUAGGGGAGCGAACGGGAUUAGAUACCCCGGUAGUCCUAGCCUUAAACGAUGAAUGCUUGGUGUCUGGGGUUAUAAAGUCCCCGGGUGCCGUCGCUAACGCUUUAAGCAUUCCGCCUGGGGAGUACGGUCGCAAGACUGAAACUCAAAGGAAUUGACGGGGACCCGCACAAGCGGUGGAGCAUGUGGUUUAAUUCGACGCAACGCGAAGAACCUUACCUGGGCUCGAAGCACAGUGGACCGGGGUGGAAACAUCCCUUUUCGCAAGAACUGCUGUGGAGGUGCUGCAUGGCUGUCGUCAGCUCGUGUCGUGAGGUGUUGGGUUAAGUCCCGCAACGAGCGUAACCCUUAUCGUUAGUUGCCAGCGGGUCAAGCCGGGCACUCUAGCGAAACCGCCCCGGAUAACGGGGAGGAAGGUGGGGAUGACGUCAAGUCCUCAUGGCCUUUAUGUCCAGGGCUACACACGUGCUACAAUGGUCGGUACAAACCGUCGCAAACCUGCGAAGGGGAGCUAAUCGGAAAAAGCCGGCCUCAGUUCGGAUUGGAGUCUGCAACUCGACUCCAUGAAGCUGGAAUCGCUAGUAAUCGCGGAUCAGCACACCGCGGUGAAUACGUUCCCGGGCGUUGCACACAC